RNAcentral lists this ribosomal RNA (454 nucleotides) under uncultured bacterium. RNAcentral describes it as "bacterial SSU rRNA". It matches the Rfam family "Bacterial small subunit ribosomal RNA", at positions 28 to 524 of the family's 1533-position model. The record is from RNAcentral.
GACGAACGCUGGCGGUGUGCUUCACACAUGCAAGUCGAACGAGGUAGCAAUACCUAGUGGCGGACGGGUGAGUAACGCGUGGGAAUCUGCCUUUAGAUGGGGGGAUAACGGGUCGAAAGACUCGCUAAUACCGCAUAUGACGAAAGUUGAAAGGAGUAAUCCGUCUAAAGAUGAGCCCGCGUCCGAUUAGCUAGUUGGUAGAGUAAAAAGCCUACCAAGGCGACGAUCGGUAGCUGGUCUGAGAGGAUGAUCAGCCACAAUGGGACUGAGACACGGCUCAUACUCCUACGGAGGCAGCAGUGGGGAAUUUUACGCAAUGGGCGAAAGCCUGACGUAGCGACACCGCGUGAGCGAAGAAGCCCCUUGGGGUGUAAAGCUCUGUCAGCUGGACGAAAAAAAUGACGGUACCAGCAGAGGAAGCAUCGGCUAACUACGUGCCAGCAGCCGCGGUAAU